Molecule: ribosomal RNA, 434 nt
Filed under: Paraphysomonas vestita
Lineage: Eukaryota; Chrysophyceae; Chromulinales; Paraphysomonadaceae
Description: partial small subunit ribosomal RNA
Rfam family: Eukaryotic small subunit ribosomal RNA
Source: RNAcentral
GCUUGUCUCAAAGAUUAAGCCAUGCAUGUCUAAGUAUAAACAAAUCUAUACUGUGAAACUGCGAAUGGCUCAUUAUAUCAGUUAUAGUUUAUUUGAUGGUUUUUGCUACUUGGAUAACCGUAGUAAUUCUAGAGCUAAUACAUGCAUAAAACUUUAAUUUUUUUAUAUUAUAUGAUAAAAAGUAUAAUAUAAAAAGAAAAAAGUGUAUUUAUUAGAUGGAAACCAAUGGCAGGGCAACCUGUUAAACUAAUGGUGAUUCAUAAUAACUUUCGGAUCGAUUUGUAUAAAUCGAUGCAUCAUUCAAGUUUCUGCCCUAUCAGCUUUGGAUGGUAGGGUAUUGGCCUACCAUGGCUUUAACGGGUAACGGAGAAUUAGGGUUCGAUUCCGGAGAGGGAGCCUGAGAAACGGCUACCACAUCCAAGGAAGGCAGCAGG